GUGGGUAAAUCUCAGUGGUAGAGCGUGUGCUUAGCAUGCAUGAGGUUCUGGGUUCAAUCCCCAGUAUCUCCA
RNAcentral lists this transfer RNA (72 nucleotides) under Camelus bactrianus (Bactrian camel). It matches the Rfam family "tRNA". From Rfam's summary of the family: Transfer RNA (tRNA) molecules are approximately 80 nucleotides in length. Their secondary structure includes four short double-helical elements and three loops (D, anti-codon, and T loops). Further hydrogen bonds mediate the characteristic L-shaped molecular structure. tRNAs have two regions of fundamental functional importance: the anti-codon, which is responsible for specific mRNA codon recognition, and the 3' end, to which the tRNAs corresponding amino acid is attached (by aminoacyl-tRNA synthetases). tRNAs cope with the degeneracy of the genetic code in two manners: having more than one tRNA (with a specific anti-codon) for a particular amino acid; and 'wobble' base-pairing, i.e. permitting non-standard base-pairing at the 3rd anti-codon position. RNAcentral also lists the same sequence under 1 other name. The record is from Rfam by way of RNAcentral. Lineage: Eukaryota; Metazoa; Chordata; Mammalia; Artiodactyla; Camelidae.